CUAACCUGAUGGUGACUGUGACUUCAGAAUUGAGCCAGGCUCUGAGCACUUCUUACCACGCCCACCUCUGCCCCCAUCUGGUCCAGCACCCCCGCCUCUCACCUGGGUUGUGGCAGCAGGCUUCCUGCUUGGCCUAUGGCUUCAGCCUCACCUUCUCAUUAAAAAGGAAAUGAGGUCAAGUCCAGUGACCUCACGCUGGGUCGCACACAUCUUCUGGCUGCUUUGCAGCCCCUCUUACUAUCUCUGCUGUGUGCAAAACUCAGAAGCCAAAGGGGAUGAAGCUGCCAUCUGUGGGAUUAAGAUCAGAUGUCUUGAUUCGGAUCCUCCAAGCAUAAUGAUGUGUUGUUGCCAUAGCAAUUCUGCUCAAGAGCCCUUUGGACAGAAGACACACAUAUUUGUGAAGAACCCUGAGGUUCUCAGCAGCUUUCCUCAUAGGCACAUGGACAUUUCAUGGGACCCUGGAAAGAUCACACAGUGAGGAAGACAAUCAUUCUCAUCCGGCCUGUGCACCUGCUGCAGUACGGUCACCUGGUCUGGCUCCAUCGAAGCAGAAGGAAAGGAAGAUUUCACUCUGAGAGGGAACAUAAGAGUCCGGGUGUCGUGUGAGCUGAAGCGUGGGGACCACAGCUUGAUAUUAGUCUUUCCAUUAUUUUGAGUUUCUACAAGUGCUUCCUAUAAAAUUUAUCUGUUUUGAAGCCAGAGGGAUUAAUAGUUUCUCAAUGAUAAAAGGCUAUCUUGUGAAGACAACAAUGCGUAUAUUAUUUGAAGUUAUUAUAUGCCAUUUGAUAGUGGUUCUUUUUUGACUCCUGUAUAAACCUUUUGGAGGAGAGAUCUCAAAGAU
RNAcentral lists this long non-coding RNA (841 nucleotides) under Equus asinus (donkey). RNAcentral's name for it is "lncRNA (ENSEASG00005028152.1)". The record is from RNAcentral. Lineage: Eukaryota; Metazoa; Chordata; Mammalia; Perissodactyla; Equidae.